Molecule: long non-coding RNA, 1387 nt
Filed under: Apteryx rowi (Okarito brown kiwi)
Lineage: Eukaryota; Metazoa; Chordata; Aves; Apterygiformes; Apterygidae
Description: lncRNA (ENSARWG00000011407.1)
Source: RNAcentral
CCCGCCCGAGCGCCGGAAGGGAUUUUGCGCCCUUCCGCCGUGGCGUCACGUGACAUCCCCUUGGUAACGCAAGAUGGCGGCGCCCAUGUUGCUGCCCGAGUCCCCUCUGGGGAAGUUGAGCCAUCAAAAAUAUAGAGCUAUUCUGAAGAAAGAAAAGCGGAAAAAAAAGCGCCAGGCACUCGCCAAACUGAGAGAUUCAGAAGCUACAGAAAAAGAUGAAUCAAUGUCUGAGGAGGAAGAAGAAGAACUGGAAGAAGAGGAAGAAGAAGAAGAAGAAGAAAAAAAACUUGAGGCAGAAAGACAAAAACUACAUGAGCAGUGGUUGCUAAGAGAAGAAAAGGCCCAAGAAGAGUUCAAGCUUAAGAAAGAAAAAGAAGAGGCUGCAAGAAAACGUCAAGAAGAAGAAGAGAGAAAGAGAGGAUAAUCCUUAUUUAAUGUCUCAUAUGAACACAAUGAGUGUUGAAGAAAAUUCCUGACGAGGAUAUGGAAUAUGGUGUUACAUUGCUGCUGUUCCUUAACAUAGUUCUUAAUCAAAAGAUAUAUUGCAGCUCUUCUUUACCUGACUCAUCCAACAGGACGUAUCUUUUUUUUUUUCAGAGCUCCUUGGGUGGGAAGGAAAAUUAUAGUGAAGAUAUUAGUCAUUGAUGAAAUUUCUGUUAACUGUACAUUCUUCUUAAGUUUUAGAAUUUGAAUGACUGGGAUGUGAGUUGCCCUGUACAAAAAUCUGAAGUGAGGACUGGCCUAUCAUCAGUAAAGGGGCUUGCAGCUUUCUAGGAUCUGUCUCUCAUUAGCUUCUGCACAGCUGCAAAAGAUACAAAGUUCUAGCUAUUUCUGUUGGAGAUGUCUUGCUAAAAAUGCUGAUUGGAUUCUCCAGUUUCCUGACUCUAGUCACAGUAGGAGAAAAGAAAUGAGCAAAGAGUAUUCUCUUCUGCAUUUAAUAGUUGAUAGUGUCACUGGUUACGUAACACUUCCAUGAUGAAUGAGAAAGAACAGCAGUUUUUAUAUUUCCUGGUUUUUUUAUAUUUUCUGUCUUCCUCUUAAGUGUCCCUUUCUCUCUUUGCAGAGUAGGCAGAGUAAAUGUUUGCAUCCUUUAUUUAAGGUUGAGAUGUGGUUAGAAGAGAGUUGAACCACAGUAACAGCAGGAUUUUGUUCCUUCCUUCUCCUUUUGUCUGUGUUUGUCUCAUCCCUCAGUGGGCUAAUUGGUUCCCUGAAUUAGUGGAAGCUGCUUUCUGUUUUUUUUGUUUUGUUUUUUUUUUCUCCCCCGGAUGACUAUUUCACUGGUUUAGUGAGCUAAAUUGGCUCAUGGAGGACUUUGACAAGCACCCAGAGGCAGGCUGUCGGAGUGCCCAGCUGGGAGUGGAGCCACCCAUUUCAGCAGCCAAGAGUU